CUCAACUGUUUCUAGUGCACAGGCAGCAAACACGAGGCCCGUGGGCUGAACCUAGCCCUCCACCUUGUUUUAUCUGGCCCAGCACUUGUUUCUACCCAGCGGCAGCACCAAGCCCUCUCUUAACUGUUAAGGAGAAGUUACAUUUAUAC
This is a long non-coding RNA of Phyllostomus discolor (pale spear-nosed bat), 149 nucleotides long. RefSeq lists it as uncharacterized. NCBI's taxonomy places the organism in Eukaryota, Metazoa, Chordata, Mammalia, Chiroptera, Phyllostomidae. The record is from RefSeq and is a predicted model, not a curated record. The transcript has 3 exons.